RNAcentral lists this ribosomal RNA (597 nucleotides) under uncultured fungus. Its description in RNAcentral is "eukaryotic LSU rRNA". The stretch from base 214 to 367 matches the Rfam family "5.8S ribosomal RNA". Lineage: Eukaryota; Fungi. The record is from RNAcentral.
AGUAAAAGUCGUAACAAGGUCUCCGUUGGUGAACCAGCGGAGGGAUCAUUACAAGAGUAGCCCUAGGCUCUCCAACCCACUGUGAACAUACCUACGUUCCCCCGGCGGGCUCAGCGCGCGGUGCCUCCGGGCGCCGGGCGUCCGCCGAGGGCAUCCAAACUCGAAUUUAUUACGUGUAUAUCUGAGGGGCGAAAGCCUGUAAAAAUAAAUCAAAACUUUCAACAACGGAUCUCUUGGCUCUGGCAUCGAUGAAGAACGCAGCGAAAUGCGAUAAGUAAUGUGAAUUGCAGAAUUCAGUGAAUCAUCGAAUCUUUGAACGCACAUUGCGCCCGCCGGCACUCCGGCGGGCAUGCCUGUCCGAGCGUCAUUUCAACCCUCAGGCCCUCCCUUCCGGGGGACGGGCCUGGUGUUGGGGCUCGGGGUCCGCAAGGCCCCCGUCCCCUAAAAUCAUUGGCGGUCGCGCUGUAAUCCCCUGCGUAGUAACACACCUCGCUCUGGAGACCAGCACGUCCACGCCGUAAAACCCCCAAUUACCAAGGUUGACCUCGGAUCAGGUAGGAAUACCCGCUGAACUUAAGCAUAUCAAUAAGCGGAGGA